CUGGCGGCGUGCCUAACACAUGCAAGUCGAACGAGGUCCAUCCUUCGGGAGAAGACCUAGUGGCGAACGGGUGAGUAACACGUGAGGAACCUGCCCCGAAGACCGGGAUAACCCUCCGAAAGGAGAGCUAAUACCGGAUAACCCCACCGAGCCGCAUGGUUUGGUGAGGAAAUGGAUUCCGCUUCGGGAGGGCCUCGCGGCCUAUCAGCUAGUUGGUGGGGUUAACGGCCCACCAAGGCAUCGACGGGUAGCUGGUCUGAGAGGACGAUCAGCCACACUGGGACUGAGACACGGCCCAGACUCCUACGGGAGGCAGCAGUGGGGAAUCUUGCGCAAUGGGCGAAAGCCUGACGCAGCAACGCCGCGUGGGGAUGAAGGCUCUCGGGUUGUAAACCCCUUUCAGCAGGGACGAAUCAAGACGGUACCUGCAGAAGAAGCCCCGGCUAACUACGUG
This 454-nucleotide ribosomal RNA is filed under the name uncultured bacterium. Its description in RNAcentral is "bacterial SSU rRNA". It matches the Rfam family "Bacterial small subunit ribosomal RNA", at positions 36 to 507 of the family's 1533-position model. The record is from RNAcentral.